CGUCGAUGGAUCAUUGUACGACAGUGCAGUGGGGAUCCUUACACGAGACUAUUGCGAGCCCUUCCAUCAUUCAUGGGUUGAAAUCCCAUUGCAUCAGCGGACACAAGUCUUUGAU
Molecule: microRNA precursor, 115 nt
Filed under: Rehmannia glutinosa
Lineage: Eukaryota; Viridiplantae; Streptophyta; Magnoliopsida; Lamiales; Orobanchaceae
Description: miR7809 stem-loop (rgl-MIR7809)
Source: miRBase by way of RNAcentral